Molecule: unclassified non-coding RNA, 376 nt
Filed under: uncultured Gammaproteobacteria bacterium
Lineage: Bacteria; Pseudomonadati; Pseudomonadota; Gammaproteobacteria
Description: contains 16S-23S intergenic spacer region
Source: RNAcentral
UCCGGUUUGUCACCGGCAGUCCCAUUAGAGUGCUCAACUGAAUGUAGCAACUAAUGGCAAGGGUUGCGCUCGUUGCGGGACUUAACCCAACAUCUCACGACACGAGCUGACGACAGCCAUGCAGCACCUGUGUUACGGUUCCCUUUCGGGCACGUCUCCAUCUCUGGAGACUUCCGUACAUGUCAAGGGUAGGUAAGGUUUUUCGCGUUGCAUCGAAUUAAACCACAUCAUCCACCGCUUGUGCGGUCCCCCGUCAAUUCCUUUGAGUUUUAAUCUUGCGACCGUACUCCCCAGGCGGCGAACUUCACGCGUUAGCUUCGUUACCAAAGAAUUGCUUCCCCGACAACUAGUUCGCAUCGUUUACAGCUAGGACUAC